AUACGGAGGGUGCAAGCGUUAAUCGGAAUUACUGGGCGUAAAGCGUACGUAGGCGGUCCGUUAAGUUAGAUGUGAAAGCCCCGGGCUUAACCUGGGAACUGCAUUUAAAACUGGCGGACUAGAGUUGAGUAGAGGGGAGUGGAAUUUCAGGUGUAGCGGUGAAAUGCGUAGAGAUCUGAAGGAACACCAGUGGCGAAGGCGACUCCCUGGACUCGAACUGACGCUGAGGUACGAAAGCGUGGGUAGCAAACAGGAUUAGAAACCCCGGUAGUCC
This 274-nucleotide ribosomal RNA is filed under the name uncultured bacterium. Its description in RNAcentral is "partial 16S ribosomal RNA". It matches the Rfam family "Bacterial small subunit ribosomal RNA", at positions 523 to 796 of the family's 1533-position model. The record is from RNAcentral.